UACGAAGGGGGCUAGCGUUGCUCGGAAUUACUGGGCGUAAAGCGCACGUAGGCGGAUUGUUAAGUCGGGGGUGAAAUCCUGGAGCUCAACUCGAGAACUGCCUUCGAUACUGGCGAUCUCGAGUUCGGGAGAGGUGAGUGGAACUGCGAGUGUAGAGGUGAAAUUCGUAGAUAUUCGCAAGAACACCAGUGGCGAAGGCGGCUCACUGGCCCGAUACUGACGCUCAUGUGCGAAAGCGUGGGGAGCAAACAGG
This 253-nucleotide ribosomal RNA is filed under the name uncultured bacterium. RNAcentral describes it as "partial 16S ribosomal RNA". It matches the Rfam family "Bacterial small subunit ribosomal RNA", at positions 524 to 776 of the family's 1533-position model. The record is from RNAcentral.